UGGUUCUGGCAUCGAUGAAGAACGCAGCGAAAUGCGAUAAGUAGUGUGAAUUGCAGAAUUCAGUGAAUCAUCGAAUCUUUGAACGCACAUUGCGCCCCUUGGGAUUCCAUUGGGCAUGCCUGUUCGAGCGUCAUUUGUACCCUCAAGCACUGCUUGGUGUUGGGCUCGUCCGACUGGACCUGCCUCAAAUGGAUUGGCAGUCGGUCCUCGCCGUAGAGCGCAGCACAUUUGCGACUCUUGGUAAGAAGCGACAUCCACAAGCUCUCCACGUUUGACCUCGGAUCAGGUAGGGAUACCCGCUGA
RNAcentral lists this unclassified non-coding RNA (303 nucleotides) under uncultured fungus. RNAcentral's name for it is "partial contains 5.8S ribosomal RNA and internal transcribed spacer 2". The stretch from base 1 to 133 matches the Rfam family "5.8S ribosomal RNA", at positions 22 to 154 of the family's 154-position model. The record is from RNAcentral. Lineage: Eukaryota; Fungi.